AUGUGGAGAUUCUUCAAGCGGCGACGCGUUCAUGGGCCGGCCCAUAAGAGCGAGCGCUUCUACAGAAGCAGCCUACCACGGACACACUCCAGAAAACAGCGCCUCCAUUCCCCACCCCUCCCUCCCCCAAACCAAAUCCCUCGCCGUCGGCCGCCUCCCCCUCCACCGGCGGCCAUGGGCGACCCUCAGUUUACCAUCGGCACCUCCAUGAGCGAUAUACUCGCCACCAUGGAGCGCGACGGCCACGACCCUGCGACGAUCUCCCUCGGCAUAAACGCGAUGCUCUGCUUCGUGUACGACUACCUGCCGGAGCCGCCCGUCUCCCUCACCGCCUCCCUCUCACUCGCCGGCGCGUCGUGGGUCCCCGACGGCGUCGACCGCAUCAGCCGCCUCCCCGAUGUGCUCCUCCGCGACAUCAUCUCUCGCCUCUCCGCCAAGGACGCCGCGCGCACCGCCGCCCUCUCCUCGCGCUGGCGCCCGCUCUGGCGCUCGGCGCCCCUGGCUCUUUUCGACAUCAAUCUCUUUCCGGGCGGCGACGCGUCUCCCUCUCCCUGCGCAGUCACCGCCGCGGUGUCCGGCGCCCUCGCGGCGCACCCGGGCCCUUUCCGCUGCGUCCACCUCAUCUGCAGCACCAUGGACAAGCACCGAGGUGAAAUGGCGCGCUGGAUCGACAUCCUCGUCGCCAAGGGGGUCCAAGAACUCGUCUUUGUCAACCGCCCUUGGCCGAUAGACCUGCGCCUCCCCGCCACGAUCUUGAGCUGCGCCUCCCUCACCCGCCUCUACCUCGGCAUUUGGAGGCUCCCGGACACCGCCGCCGUGCCGCGCGGUGUCAGCUUCCCCAACUUCCGUGAGCUCGGCCUCUGCUGGAAUGUCAUGGAGGACCGUGACCUCGCCUUCAUGCUUGAAAGAAGCCCCGUCCUGGAGUUCCUCGGCAUAAUGGGGAGCCAGACCGGAGUGCGCGUCCGCCUCGUCAGCCACAGCCUGCGCUGCGUCCAGCUGGGCUUUUCUUUCAUGGAGGACAUCGACGUGGUGGAUGCCCCUCGCCUGGAGAGGCUCUUCCAAUGGGAAACUGUUUCCGCGGUCAAUAGCCGGGCCAUGGCGAACCGCUCUUUCAGAAUCAAGAUUGGCCAUGCACCUAACCUGCGUGUGCUGGGAUACCUUCAGCCUGGAGAGCAAGAGCUGGUCGUCGUGGCUGGGAGCAAGGAGAACAUUGUCCCUAGUGUCCAGAUUUUGGCCAUGGAGGUGCAGUUCGGUGCCCGCAAUGCUGUGAAGAAAGUGCCCGGCUUUCUCCGCUGUUUCCCCAACCUGGAGACUCUCCAUGUCCAGUCCCCCCGCAUACUUGAGGAGUCCAUCGGCAAGGUCAAUCUCAAGUUCUGGCAGGAGGGCGGCCCCAUCGAAUGCGUCCUGCGGAGCAUGAAGAAGUUGUUCUUCUACGAGUUCCGAGGGUCGAGAAGGGAGCUUUCCUCAAGUUUAUCACGGAGAGAGGUCGGGUGCUGGAGCAGAUGGUGGUUGUGGUGGCCAGUCAGUAUUUCUCCUCAGGGGACAAUGUCAAUGCCAAGCUGA
Molecule: ribosomal RNA, 1563 nt
Filed under: Triticum aestivum (bread wheat)
Lineage: Eukaryota; Viridiplantae; Streptophyta; Magnoliopsida; Poales; Poaceae
Description: partial small subunit ribosomal RNA
Source: RNAcentral